ACGCACAUUGCGCCCGCCAGUAUUCUGGCGGGCAUGCCUGUCCGAGCGUCAUUUCAACCCUCGAACCCCUCCGGGGGGUCGGCGUUGGGGAUCGGCACUUACCUGCCGGCCCCGAAAUACAGUGGCGGUCUCGCCGCAGCCUCUCCUGCGCAGUAGUUUGCACACUCGCACCGGGAGCGCGGCGCGUCCACGGCCGUAAAACAACCCAAACUUCUGAAAUGUUGACCUCGGAUCAGGUAGGAAUACCCGCUGAACUUAAGCAUAUCAAUAAGCGGAGGAAAAGAAACCAACAGGGAUUGCCCCAGUAACGGCGAGUGAAGCGGCAACAGCUCAAAUUUGAAAUCUGGCUCCUUUCGGGGUCCGAGUUGUAAUUUGUAGAGGAUGCUUUUGGUG
RNAcentral lists this ribosomal RNA (393 nucleotides) under Trichoderma sp. B1A0851SNA2CC559. Its description in RNAcentral is "eukaryotic LSU rRNA". The stretch from base 223 to 393 matches the Rfam family "Eukaryotic large subunit ribosomal RNA", at positions 1 to 170 of the family's 3401-position model. The record is from RNAcentral. Lineage: Eukaryota; Fungi; Ascomycota; Sordariomycetes; Hypocreales; Hypocreaceae.